GGGAAUGUAGGGUCAAGCUCAAGAACAGAAAGACAUUUUAAUAUCUCUUUUAAUAUUUCCUUCUGUGUUGUGCAUGCACAACAGUGGAAAAUGGGCUUACUUUGUGUUACUAAUCUGUUUCUACCCAGUUUCACCCAGCUCUCAUGAGCGAAUCCAGUGGUCAGAGAAGCAGAAAUGGAAUAUUUCAAUCUCAUGUCAGCAAGUGAAUAUUUUUCUACUGCUACAGAGGCAGACUGAGAAGCCAUGAAUACAGCUUGUUCUUUUCUGGUUUGAUGAGAAAAUGCCAAAGCUAAGCCAUCCACAGUCUUCAUAGCAAUUAAACCUGGCACAGGUGGGGCACAGUCCAAGGUGUGGUCUCCUUGCAUCCAGGAUGCUUGCAUGUGUGCUACCCUCUGACUUACCCUGAAAGCCUGCCCUUGCCCUGGUCCAGGUAAGAACCUUCCCUAAAAUACACAAAAUUUUCAAAAAUUAGUUUUGCCUUAUCCAAAUCCUGUCUCAGGAGUAGCUGCUAAUGACUGGAACAUGAUGAAAUAUCAUUUCAUAUUACUGAGACAUACAUGUUUAGCAUGAUAUGAAGAAGGACA
Columba livia (rock pigeon) is the source of this 584-nucleotide long non-coding RNA. RefSeq lists it as uncharacterized. Lineage: Eukaryota; Metazoa; Chordata; Aves; Columbiformes; Columbidae. The transcript has 3 exons. The record is from RefSeq and is a predicted model, not a curated record.